RNAcentral lists this long non-coding RNA (362 nucleotides) under Theobroma cacao (cacao). Its description in RNAcentral is "long non-coding RNA (TCAC_LNC003334)". Lineage: Eukaryota; Viridiplantae; Streptophyta; Magnoliopsida; Malvales; Malvaceae. The record is from RNAcentral.
UUGAGAUCUGAGAAGAGGAAGGGGUAGAGAGAGAAAAGGAAGGAACGGUCGGCGGAGAGAAGAAGGGAGAAAGCUUGACGCCGGCAACGGAAGGCGAAGUGAUUCGCCGGCUAAGAGAGAAAUCUGAGAAGAGAGGGGAGGACGCCGACGCCGGCGAAGAGAGAAGAAGAGGAUUUUUAGAGAGAAGGGAGAGGUUGCUGCCGCUAGAGAGAGAAAGUGAGGAAUAAAAGUGAAGAGAGAAAGAGAGAAAAGAGGGUUAAAUACCUAGGUUUCGGGGGCAAAACGGCGUCGUUUCAGAGAGGCAAGCAGAAGCUGGAAGGACUAGGCCAAACGGCGUCGUUUUGAGCGGCUUUGCAGGCAUC